GCCUUCUUAGCUCAGUUGGUAGAGCAGCUCAUUCGUAAUGAGCAGGUCGCCGGUUCGAGUCCGGCAGUGGGCU
This 73-nucleotide transfer RNA is filed under the name Rhodocytophaga rosea. It matches the Rfam family "tRNA". Rfam says of the family: Transfer RNA (tRNA) molecules are approximately 80 nucleotides in length. Their secondary structure includes four short double-helical elements and three loops (D, anti-codon, and T loops). Lineage: Bacteria; Pseudomonadati; Bacteroidota; Cytophagia; Cytophagales; Rhodocytophagaceae. The record is from Rfam by way of RNAcentral.